Long non-coding RNA from Syngnathoides biaculeatus (alligator pipefish), 1804 nucleotides. RefSeq lists it as uncharacterized. NCBI's taxonomy places the organism in Eukaryota, Metazoa, Chordata, Actinopteri, Syngnathiformes, Syngnathidae. The record is from RefSeq and is a predicted model, not a curated record. The transcript has 7 exons.
GGUUCUUGAAGUUUGUCUAUAUACCAGCAUCGCAUUCAUUGUAUUUGCACUUUCUAUCGCGUUUUCCAAGUAUUUCGAGAAUCUGUCGGCUGAUCUGAAACCCUACUACAGGCUGAAAAUCAGUUUAUGUGAGGAUCUGGACCCGUAUAGUCUAUCGAAGGCUGAUUUUGCGACUGAAAAAUGUUGGCCGAGAGUGGAAUACCCCGACAUUGUGAACUACUUGGUGCUUACAACCAACAGCCUUACUAGCCAACAGAUGAAGGCCAACAAGUCCUUGGAGGCUGACAAUUACUUUGUAAGCGGGUGGAUUCAGAGUGUCCUCUGCAAAACGUUGUCUGAAGAAAAGGUUUUAAUUGUUGCCUGAGUUAAUCAUUCUCAGGGGAUGUCUGCCACGCCAUUGACCGCCUGGGUCCUCGUAAAACAUGACGGGGAAAUCAUAACAGCGCACUGCAACUGCAUGGCUGGAUGAAGUGAAAGCUGUUCUCAUGUUGGAGCUUGGCUGUUUUACCUUGAAGCAGGUGCUAACCUGAAUGGACCCAGUGCAUGUACAGCGGAGAAAAAUAAAUGGAUUAUGCCACCUAGCUUGAAGAAGUAGUUUCCUGUCAUGAUCCUGCCGCUCCAGCCCGGGCUGUGCGGGUGUCCGCGGUUGCUCUGAUUGGGAGGUGCACACCUGCGCCUUAUGCAGCCUGAUUAUGCUGUGUAUUUAUAUGACCCCGAUGACGACUGGCCGGCGCCAGUUCGUUGAGCUUCAUGUCCCGUUCCAGCACUCUCGUAUCCCUGAUCGACAACCUGUGUGUACCGACCUUCGCCCGUUCUCCGACCAACCUUGUUCCAUAUCUGCCGGUGAAGGAAAUUGACUUUUCCUCGGCCAAACGUCAAAAGUCGAUUCAUCAAGGAGGAGCAGUUUUGAGCCCUCUGUCUGAAGAGAGGAGAAGUCGCAGUACUCACACUGCUGACAUGGAACCAACGCUGCAGGAAGUUAACGACUUCUAUGAGGCUAUCUCCAAUUGUGGAACCAAACGAGCAAUCUUGUCAUUGAUUCCUGGCUAAAAAAAAAUCGGUACCCAGGUUCACUCAACUGUGCCACAAAAGCAACGAGAUGGGGAAUACAGCACGAGAAAGUUGCGAGAUUCAAAUAUGAGACGUUCAUGGCUGAUGACCAUACCACUUUUGCUGUAAUUGAAACAGGGCUCCAUCUCAACUCACGGUGGCCAUUUCUUGGUGCAUCUCCAGAUGGUCUGGUCCAGUGUUCUUGCUGUGGCAUGGGUGUUUGUGAAAUUAAGAUUCAGGCUCAACUCCAUGUAUCAGGCAGAUUGUGACUUCAUUUUUUGUACAUCGAAGGACUUCUACGUUGAACGAAUACAACUUGAUUUCGAGAUGUGGGAAGAACCUGUUGAGAAGGCAGAGCUUUUUUUUUUUUUUCGUCGAGCAAUCCUUCCUGAGUUAAUGGGAUGAGUGUUUAAGAUCUGCAGUCACCAGCAACACACGUACUGCCCAGCAUGCCUGAUGCCGGACAACAAAGGCCAUGUAUAUGUGGAAGAAAGCUGAGAAGCAAAAUUGUUCUGUGCUUCUCCAGACUGUCAAAUUAAGACAUUCCACUUAUGUGUGAAUUUAGGAUGACACCAAGGCACCAGUGGUUUUGUAAUCAAUGUGAGAACGAGGAAAAUUAAGUAACAAAGACGGUGAUAGUUUUAUUGACUAUGAAAAUAACAAACUACAUAUAUAACUGAAACACUAAAAUAUUUAUUUCAGUGAUAUGAUUUGUACACAAACUUUUCUGACACAUGUAUGUAAAUAAAAUAAA